This 497-nucleotide ribosomal RNA is filed under the name uncultured bacterium. Its description in RNAcentral is "partial 16S ribosomal RNA". It matches the Rfam family "Bacterial small subunit ribosomal RNA", at positions 28 to 507 of the family's 1533-position model. The record is from RNAcentral.
GAUGAACGCUGGCGGUGUGCCUAAUACAUGCAAGUCGAGCGAACAGACGAGGAGCUUACUCCUCUGACGUUAGCGGCGGACGGGUGAGUAACACGUGGACAACCUACCUAUAAGACUGGGAUAACUUCGGGAAACCGGAGCUAAUACCGGAUAACAUGUUGAACCGCAUGGUUCAACAGUGAAAGACGGUCUUGCUGUCACUUAUAGAUGGAUCCGCGUCGCAUUAGCUAGUUGGUAAGGUAACGGCUUACCAAGGCAACGAUGCGUAGCCGACCUGAGAGGGUGAUCGGCCACACUGGAACUGAGACACGGUCCAGACUCCUACGGGAGGCAGCAGUAGGGAAUCUUCCGCAAUGGGCGAAAGCCUGACGAAGCAACGCCGCGUGAGUGAAGAAGGUCUUCGGAUCGUAAAACUCUGUUAUUAGGGAAGAACAAAUGUGUAAGUAACUAUGCACGUCUUGACGGUACCUAAUCAGAAAGCCACGGCUAACUACGUG